GAAAGCUUCACAAAGGAGAACAAUUUUGAGAUACACUUUGGAAUAUGUUGUAUUCUUCAUACAUAAUUCUUCCUUCCUUCCUUCCCUUCGCCAUGAAUCCUGCUCUUCUCUAUGACAGGAUUAUACUUACAUGUCCCAUUGACAUAUCUCUUUGUCAUGUUAAUUUCUUUCAAUCUGAAAUGUAGGCAGAAGUGGUUGAUUUAGUACUAGCUCUGAACCAGGCCUGAAGAGAAAUCAUGUGUUUCUUUUUACUGUCUUGUGCUUCUGCCAUAGCCAUGAGAAGAACAGUCCACUGAAGGUUGAGUGAGUCAUCUAGGACAGACCUGAACACCUGGCAACUUGAAGCCAAACCCACCUCAGCCUACAGAAAUCAGCCAGACCCCAACUGACCCACAGACUUAUGAGGAGACUGAAGCUGAGAGAGACUAUGGCCUGCUAAGUCACUGUCAGCUGCUGGGGAUGCAGAAAUGAAAACCCAAGGCCUCUGCCUUCAUGGACUUCAUAGUACAACGGCGAAGCAGAUAUUUAUCAUUAUAGCCUAUCUCAUACCGGUCUGCAUAGAACUUUUGGAAUAUCCCACCAAUAAGAUGACUGUGUUCUGUACAGACUUAUUUGCUUCCUGAUUCAAUCAUCUUCCUCUGCACUGAGCCAAUGGCUAAGAUGAUGAUGAUCAUAACAAAGUGAAGGAGGAGGAAGACUUAACCUGAGUAAUAGCAUAUUUCAAGACCAAGAGAAAACAGGGUUUGAAUAGUCUAGGAAUGAAUGUCCAUCCCAGCAAUAUAUGUCAUGCAAGAUCCUACCACCCAACUCAGAUGGAGGUUACUAUCAAAGGUCUCCCAAGACUGUAACCAAGGUAUCAGUCAGCCAGGAUGCAUUCUCAUCUGGAGGCUUACCUGGAGAAGUAUCUGCUUCUAAUCUCACUCAGGGAAGAGUGCUGAUCACACCACCAAGUCUCAAGCCGAUUCUCCAUUCUUGACUUCUGGAGAAAAUUGGAAGAUUGACUAUUGUCAUACACUGCCUGCCUGCUUGAUCAAUCAACGCAGAGUCCGUGUUCCUUCCUCUAGUUUCCUGCUCUUCCUCAUUAUUUCAGCCCCAGUGCGUCACUGAUGAGCUUGCCUGCACAGCAUGAAGGGCACGUGAGAAUUUCUGGGCUCCGAGAAUGACACAGAUGGAUCACAGGAAGCUGGAAGUGGUGCCUUGGAUCCAUCUAUCAAGCCACCUCUCUGUCAGUGAUACACCAUCCUGGAAGCUAUUGAUGCCCAGGCCAUUGUGAGACUAAUUCUAGAAGUUUGCAGGUUACCACAGACUCUGCCUACAGAAAUUGACCAAUCAUCACAAUAUGACUGGAUUCCCCUUCCAUAAACCUAUCUGGAUACUUCUGCACCCUUGAAUUUUGGGGCCCUUGAAUAAGGUCCCCAAGGGCCCUACCAUCAGACCUUCAUACCCUACUCAGUCUCCUUUCUCCUUCCCACAGCCCUCUGAGAUUACAAAGGGUGAGUUUUCCUUCCUUCCUUAAUGGCUUCUGUGACAUAAUACCUAAGUCCCUUUGCCCUCAAUGAUCAAAACCAUUAGUAGGAACUAAAGUUUAGAAAAUCUAUUCUCCCCCACCAAAGCUUGUCUUCCAAAAUAUAAUCAGUCUGUGAACUCAAAACUUCCAUUUUGGAAUUUAAAGUUCAGCAUUGUCUUUGUUCUUGCAUUCCUGCUGCAAAAAUUCUAAUUUUCUGCAAGGCAAAUGGUGCCUCUGGCUGUCUAGGAGGUCACAUAUAAGGAAAUUCAAAUAUGAAGAUCAUUUUACAUAAAUCAAAAAUAUUAUCCCCAUUACAUUAGCAUGGAAAUAAAAAUGGAACUUAUUUGUGUCAUCCAAAUUAUUUAACACUGAUCUCAUUCACCCAUAAAUUUGAAAAACUCAUCUUCAUUGGUAAAAAUAAUAAAAUUAUUGAACAAGGUAGAGGAUCUUGGAGACGCACCUCUAAAAAUAUGUUUGCAAAUUGACUCUGAUCCACAGAGAAAAUACUGCUUGCCUCAAAUUUAUUCUGAUGUUAGCCCAAGUAAAUCAUUUUGGGGGGGCUGUAGUCUACAGACCCUAAAGUGACCCUCAAAGAUCAUCAUCUUCUGGUAUUCAUGCCUUUCUGUAAUCUCAUUGCCUUGAGUCUGGGCAUUACUCGUGAGUUGCUUCUAACCAAUAGAAUAUGGCAAUGGUGAUAAAAUGUCUCUCCUUGAUUAUAUUAAGUUGUAUAAGACACAAUUUUGUUAGAGGCUUUCUCCCUUGCUGGCUUUGAAGAAAUAAAUGGACAUGUUAGAAGGCCCACAUGUCAAGAGGGUGAGGGUA
This is a long non-coding RNA of Mirounga angustirostris (Northern elephant seal), 2329 nucleotides long. RefSeq lists it as uncharacterized. NCBI's taxonomy places the organism in Eukaryota, Metazoa, Chordata, Mammalia, Carnivora, Phocidae. The record is from RefSeq and is a predicted model, not a curated record. The transcript is spliced from 9 exons.